AUCUACAACCACAGGAAGAAGUCAACAGCGUAUCCCGUCCGCUCUGCGCUACUUAAGCUUCUUACCGGCCAGCUAGUAGUGCUAUCGGAGAUGAGGUGCGAAUAUUGGCUGUUGUAGGUU
This 120-nucleotide ribosomal RNA is filed under the name Orbilia oligospora ATCC 24927. Lineage: Eukaryota; Fungi; Ascomycota; Orbiliomycetes; Orbiliales; Orbiliaceae. The record is from RNAcentral.